This 253-nucleotide ribosomal RNA is filed under the name uncultured bacterium. RNAcentral's name for it is "partial 16S ribosomal RNA". It matches the Rfam family "Bacterial small subunit ribosomal RNA", at positions 524 to 776 of the family's 1533-position model. The record is from RNAcentral.
UACGAAGGGGGCUAGCGUUGCUCGGAAUCACUGGGCGUAAAGGGUGCGUAGGCGGGUCUUUAAGUCAGGGGUGAAAUCCUGGAGCUCAACUCCAGAACUGCCUUUGAUACUGAGGAUCUUGAGUACGGGAGAGGUGAGUGGAACUGCGAGUGUAGAGGUGAAAUUCGUAGAUAUUCGCAAGAACACCAGUGGCGAAGGCGGCUCACUGGCCCGUUACUGACGCUGAGGCACGAAAGCGUGGGGAGCGAACAGG